RNAcentral lists this ribosomal RNA (619 nucleotides) under uncultured bacterium. RNAcentral's name for it is "bacterial SSU rRNA". The stretch from base 1 to 523 matches the Rfam family "Bacterial small subunit ribosomal RNA", at positions 338 to 873 of the family's 1533-position model. The record is from RNAcentral.
CCUACGGGAGGCAGCAGUGGGGAAUAUUGGGCAAUGGAGGAAACUCUGACCCAGCGACGCCGCGUGCGGGAUGAAGGCCUUCGGGUUGUAAACCGCUUUCAGUAGGGAAGAAGCGAAAGUGACGGUACCUACAGAAGAAGCACCGGCUGACUAUGUGCCAGCAGCCGCGGUAAUACAUAGGGUGCAAGCGUUGUCCGGAAUUAUUGGGCGUAAAGAGCUCGUAGGUGGUUCGUCACGUCGGAUGUGAAAAUCUGGGGCUCAACCCCAGACCUGCAUUCGAUACGGGCGAUCUAGAGUGUGGUAGGGGAGACUGGAAUUCCUGGUGUAGCGGUGGAAUGCGCAGAUAUCAGGAGGAACACCAAUGGCGAAGGCAGGUCUCUGGGCCAUUACUGACACUGAGGAGCGAAAGCGUGGGGAGCGAACAGGAUUAGAUACCCUGGUAGUCCACGCCGUAAACGGUGGGCACUAGUUGUGGGAACCUUCCACGGUUUCUGCGACGCAGCUACGACAUAAGUAGCCCGCCCGUCGGGAGGUACGAGUCGCGAAGAAUUAAAACUAACAAAUAGAAGUUAGUACGGCGUGAGACGUGCCGACGGACGACCGACGAGGGGAGGUUAGG